UACGUAGGGUGCAAGCGUUGUCCGGAUUUAUUGGGCGUAAAGAGCUCGUAGGCGGUUUGUCGCGUCGGAUGUGAAAACCCAGGGCUCAACCCUGGGCCUGCAUUCGAUACGGGCAAACUAGAGUAUGGCAGGGGAGACUGGAAUUCCUGGUGUAGCGGUGAAAUGCGCAGAUAUCAGGAGGAACACCGGUGGCGAAGGCGGGUCUCUGGGCCGAUAUUGACGCUGAGGAGCGAAAGCGUGGGGAGCGAACAGG
RNAcentral lists this ribosomal RNA (253 nucleotides) under uncultured bacterium. RNAcentral's name for it is "partial 16S ribosomal RNA". It matches the Rfam family "Bacterial small subunit ribosomal RNA", at positions 524 to 776 of the family's 1533-position model. The record is from RNAcentral.